CAAAUACUCCCUCCGUUCGGAAAUACUUGUCAUCAAAAUGGAUAAAAGGAAAUGUAUCUAGACGUAUUUUAGUUUUAGAUACAUCUCUUUUUAUCCAUUUUGAUGACAAGUAUUUUUGGACGGAGGGAGUAGAAA
Molecule: non-coding RNA, 135 nt
Organism: Triticum aestivum (bread wheat)
Lineage: Eukaryota; Viridiplantae; Streptophyta; Magnoliopsida; Poales; Poaceae
Source: Rfam